RNAcentral lists this ribosomal RNA (253 nucleotides) under uncultured bacterium. RNAcentral's name for it is "partial 16S ribosomal RNA". It matches the Rfam family "Bacterial small subunit ribosomal RNA", at positions 524 to 776 of the family's 1533-position model. The record is from RNAcentral.
UACGUAGGGUUCAAGCGUUAUCCGGAAUCACUGGGCGUAAAGAGCUCGUAGGCGGUUUGUCGCGUCGUCCGUGAAAACUCACAGCUUAACUGUGAGCUUGCGGUCGAUACGGGCAGGCUAGAGUUCGGUAGGGGAGACUGGAAUUCCUGGUGUAGCGGUGAAAUGCGCAGAUAUCAGGAGGAACACCGGUGGCGAAGGCGGGUCUCUGGGCCGAUACUGACGCUGAGGCGCGAAAGCGUGGGGAGCAAACAGG